GUUUGACAAACUCGAAAAGAGGGGGAAAAGUAAUAAAAUGGUUACUUUAUAAGCAUUUACUUAAUUUCUAUCACGAAAUAAAUGCGUUUAAUAUUUUAGAUACAGAUACAAUAUAGUGCAUUCGUAAAUGUAAAACACUUUUUAAUAGAAAAUUUAAAAGAGAUACAUCAACAGUGUUUAUUUUAGAAUUGCUCAAGUCUGUAGGGCUUAUUCCCGAUUGUCC
RNAcentral lists this long non-coding RNA (223 nucleotides) under Mytilus galloprovincialis (Mediterranean mussel). The record is from RNAcentral. Lineage: Eukaryota; Metazoa; Mollusca; Bivalvia; Mytilida; Mytilidae.